GGCAAGAGAUGCUUUGGCACCACCUGUUGGCCAGAAGCAGGAAGAAAAAGGUAAGUGUCCAAGCACAGAAUGCAUGCUCGAAGCCAGCCUCAUUCGCCGUUACCUUGUUCCUGUGGCAGCGCUGGAUGAAGUCAAGAUGCUGUUCAACUGCGCACAAAAACACGAAAUA
Molecule: long non-coding RNA, 169 nt
Organism: Hippocampus comes (tiger tail seahorse)
Lineage: Eukaryota; Metazoa; Chordata; Actinopteri; Syngnathiformes; Syngnathidae
Exons: 2
Source: RefSeq, a predicted model, not a curated record